CCUUUCUCUUUGGUCGCGAGACCAUUUCCUUUCCAGGUUUCUCUGAGCGUUUCCUUUCCCUAUCUUGGGAUAAAUAACGCGCAGUGGCGGCUCUGUGUUGUGUUUUUAUUUGAGCUUCGCCGGUUGUUUUUUCGCGGAUGCGACAAAAUAUUUCCACAAAUAAUUCUCCUUUAAAGUUGUCAGAUAUUCUCUAUGUUCCAAAUGUUACUCAAAAUUUGAU
RNAcentral lists this long non-coding RNA (220 nucleotides) under Lathyrus oleraceus (garden pea). RNAcentral describes it as "Pisum sativum (pea) long non-coding RNA (PSAT_LNC026582)". The record is from RNAcentral. Lineage: Eukaryota; Viridiplantae; Streptophyta; Magnoliopsida; Fabales; Fabaceae.